Molecule: ribosomal RNA, 416 nt
Filed under: Alcanivorax sp. M07A27
Lineage: Bacteria; Pseudomonadati; Pseudomonadota; Gammaproteobacteria; Oceanospirillales; Alcanivoracaceae
Description: bacterial SSU rRNA
Rfam family: Bacterial small subunit ribosomal RNA
Source: RNAcentral
CGACGUCUAGUAGCCGAUGGGGUCCUUAGUGACUUUCGUGGCUCAGCUAACGCGAUAAGUAGUCCGCCUGGUGAGUACGGCCGCAAGGUAAACCUCAAAUGAAUGACGGGGGCCCGCACAAGCGGCGCGCAUGUGGUAUAAUUCGAUGCAACGCGAAGAUCCUGCCAGGCCUUGACAUCGUGCGAACUCUCUAGAGAUAGAUUGGUGCCUUCGGGAUCGCAGUGACAGGUGCUGCAUGGCUGUCGUCAGCUCGCGUCGUGAGAUGUUGGGUUAAGUCCCGUAACGAGCGCAACCCUCGUCCUUAGUUGCCAGCACUUCGGGUGGGAACUCUAGGGAGACAGCCGGUGACAAACCGGAGGAAGGUGGGGACGACGUCAAGUCAUCAUGGCCCCUACGGCCUGGGCUACACACGUGCU